Molecule: ribosomal RNA, 426 nt
Filed under: uncultured bacterium
Lineage: Bacteria
Description: bacterial SSU rRNA
Rfam family: Bacterial small subunit ribosomal RNA
Source: RNAcentral
GAUGAACGCUGGCGGCGCGCCUAACACAUGCAAGUCGAACGGCACCCCUCUCCGGAGGGAAGCGAGUGGCGAACGGGUGAGUAACACGUGGAGAACCUGCCCCCUCCCCCGGGAUAGCCGCCCGAAAGGACGGGUAAUACCGGAUACCCCGGGGUGCCGCAUGGCACCCCGGCUAAAGCCCCGACGGGAGGGGAUGGCUCCGCGGCCCAUCAGGUAGACGGCGGGGUGACGGCCCACCGUGCCGACAACGGGUAGCCGGGUUGAGAGACCGACCGGCCAGAUUGGGACUGAGACACGGCCCAGACUCCUACGGGAGGCAGCAGUGGGGAAUCUUGCGCAAUGGGGGGAACCCUGACGCAGCGACGCCGCGUGCGGGACGGAGGCCUUCGGGUCGUAAACCGCUUUCAGCAGGGAAGAGUCAAGACU